CACGGCUCAGUAAAACGUGGACAACCUGCCCUCGGGUGGGGGAUAACCCCGGGAAACUGGGGCUAAUACCCCAUAGGUGAUGGGUGCUGGAAUGCCCCAUCACCCAAAGCUCCGGCGCCCGAGGAUGGGUCUACGGCGGAUUAGGCUGUUGGCGGGGUAACGGCCCGCCAAGCCGAAGAUCCGUACGGGCCAUGAGAGUGGGAGCCCGGAGAUGGACCCUGAGACACGGGUCCAGGCCCUACGGGGCGCAGCAGGCGCGAAACCUCCGCAAUGCGCGCAAGUGCGACGGGGGAACCCCAAGUGCCACUCUUAACGGGGUGGCUUUUCAGAAGUGUAAAAAGCUUCUGGAAUAAGGGCUGGGCAAGACCGGUGCCAGCCGCCGCGGUAACACCGGCAGCUCAAGUGGUAGCCGCUUUUAUUGGGCCUAAAGCGUCCGUAGCCGGUCUGAUAAGUCUCUGGUGAAAUCCCACAGCUUAACUGUGGGAAUUGCUGGAGAUACUAUCAUGACUCGAGGUCGGGAGAGGCUGGAGGUACUCCCAGGGUAGGGGUGAAAUCCUGUAAUCCUGGGAGGACCACCUGUGGCGAAGGCGUCCAGCUGGA
This 600-nucleotide ribosomal RNA is filed under the name uncultured archaeon. RNAcentral's name for it is "bacterial SSU rRNA". It matches the Rfam family "Archaeal small subunit ribosomal RNA", at positions 83 to 684 of the family's 1478-position model. The record is from RNAcentral.